CCUACGGGCUGCAGCAGUGGGGAAUAUUGCACAAUGGGCGCAAGCCUGAUGCAGCCAUGCCGCGUGUAUGAAGAAGGCCUUCGGGUUGUAAAAUACUUUCAGCGGGGAGGAAGGCGUUGUGGUUAAUAACCACAGCAAUUGACGUUACCCGCAGAAGAAGCACCGGCUAAUUCCGUGCCAGCAGCCGUGGUAAUACGGAGGGUGCAAGCGUUAAUCGGAAUUACUGGGCGUAAAGCGCACGCAGGCGGUCUGUCAAGUCGGAUGUGAAAUCCCCGGGCUCAACCUGGGAACUGCAUUCGAAGCUGGCAGGCUAGAGUCUUGUAGAGGGGGGUAGAAUUCCAGGUGUAGCGGUGAAAUGCGUAGAGAUCUGGAGGAAUACCGGUGGCGAAGGCGGCCCCCUGGACAAAGACUGACGCUCAGGUGCGAAAGCGUGGGGAGCAAACAGGAUUAGAUACCCCAGUAGUC
Molecule: ribosomal RNA, 465 nt
Filed under: uncultured bacterium
Lineage: Bacteria
Description: bacterial SSU rRNA
Rfam family: Bacterial small subunit ribosomal RNA
Source: RNAcentral